AGGACGAACGCUGGCGGCGUGCUUAACACAUGCAAGUCGAGCGGAAAGGCCCUUCGGGGUACUCGAGCGGCGAACGGGUGAGUAACACGUGAGCAACCUGCCCUUAGCUCCGGGAUAGCUCCGGGAAACCGGAAUUAAUACCGGAUACAACCACGGCCGACAUCUGCUGUGGUGGAAAGGAUUCCGGCUAAGGAUGGGCUCGCGGCCUAUCAGCUAGUUGGUGGAGUAACGGCCCACCAAGGGCGACGACGGGUA
This 255-nucleotide ribosomal RNA is filed under the name uncultured bacterium. RNAcentral's name for it is "partial small subunit ribosomal RNA". It matches the Rfam family "Bacterial small subunit ribosomal RNA", at positions 26 to 285 of the family's 1533-position model. The record is from RNAcentral.